RNAcentral lists this ribosomal RNA (498 nucleotides) under uncultured bacterium. Its description in RNAcentral is "partial 16S ribosomal RNA". It matches the Rfam family "Bacterial small subunit ribosomal RNA", at positions 28 to 523 of the family's 1533-position model. The record is from RNAcentral.
GAUGAACGCUAGCGGCAGGCCUAAUACAUGCAAGUCGAGCGGCAAGUCGAGGAGUAAUCUGAGACCUAGAGCGGCGUACGGGUGCGUAACGCGUAUGCAACCUACCUCAUACAGGGGAUAGCCCGGAGAAAUCUGGAUUAAUACCCCAUAGCACAGCACAAGGGCAUCUGCGAGCUGUUAAAGAUUCAUCGGUAUGAGAUGGGCAUGCGUCUGAUUAGCUAGUUGGCGGUGUAACGGACCACCAAGGCGACGAUCAGUAGGGGUUCUGAGAGGAAGGUCCCCCACACUGGCACUGGGAGACGGGCCAGACUGCUACGGGAGGCAGCAGUAGGGAAUAUUGGGCAAUGGACGAGAGUCUGACCCAGCCAUGCCGCGUGCAGGAAGAAGGCCUUCUGGGUUGUAAACUGCUUUUAUCUGGGAAGAAAAGGCCCAUGCGUGGGACAUUGCCGGUACCAGAUGAAUAAGCACCGGCUAACUCCGUGCCAGCCGCCGCGGUAA